UUGUGUCAAAUUAAAACAUUUUCUUUUUAUAUAAAAUAACUUGAAAUAUGUGUCAGGGCUUUGGUGUCCAAAAAAUGCAUUUCAUAUUUUUGGUAAGGUUGCAUUAUACUUGCCAGCGAUCUCCAGGACUCCGCGUCAAAUACAUUAUAUAUUAAUAAACAUUAACUUCAGAUACCAGUCAACAAUCGCAGGCAGUUUGUGUCAAAUUAAAACAUUUUCUUUU
This is a long non-coding RNA of Labeo rohita (rohu), 223 nucleotides long. RefSeq lists it as uncharacterized. The transcript is spliced from 2 exons. Lineage: Eukaryota; Metazoa; Chordata; Actinopteri; Cypriniformes; Cyprinidae. The record is from RefSeq and is a predicted model, not a curated record.